This is a long non-coding RNA of Sarcophilus harrisii (Tasmanian devil), 4607 nucleotides long. NCBI's taxonomy places the organism in Eukaryota, Metazoa, Chordata, Mammalia, Dasyuromorphia, Dasyuridae. The record is from Ensembl.
UCGGUUAUUAUGUAACUUCAUUACAUCAGCGGUCUUCAGUCGGCGAUAGUGAGAGGAGAUGAUCUCUUAGUGUAUCAAUCACCGAUUUAACUUUUGAAUGCUUGUGACAGCUGGAGAGGAAGGAGGGCACAUAGAUUAGCUUCAGGGCUCGGGUAAACCCUGAUCUCUUCCUGGCCAAUUUAAUGUGAGUUUUCUCACAGUGAGUUCUCUGGGACAGCAGAUCACAAAAGCUCCGGGGCUGCACUGUGGCCAUUUCAGCCACACCCGUGGACAGUCAGAAAGCAUUCUGCAAUGUUGUCCCGCAAGUCUCUUUGCCUUGUUGGGACUGGGUACUCCCCACCAAGGUCAUGGUUCUCUACCCUGUGAUCUAAAUAUACGAUUAUCACACAGCAGAGGCAUAACUCAGAUUGAAAUGAAAACUGCAAAGAAUCAUUUCCUGAUGACCCUUCUAGCAGUUUUAAAAGACUUGUAGAACUCCAUUAUAGCAUUGCCACACACAGUGUCACAUCCUAUACAGUAGGUAAGUAAUUUUAUUUUUAAUUUCCUGUUCAAAAUCGAUGUAGGUGGUGUGGUAGAUGAGUGACUGCUGCUGGAACAGCCUGUGCAUUAGGGGAAGCUAUUUAUACAUCCUCUAUAUUUGCAACCUUAUAAAAGGAAUUACAAUUUCCUUUUGCCAUGUUUAAAUUUAACAUUAAUUUCUUAAUGCUAUAAAUUGUGAAGGUGUGGCAUAAUAUUCUAAGCAUCUACCUUGGAAUUCCCUAUUUUCUGAAACCAGAUAUUUUAAUUCUAGUAGGGAUGACUCAUACCUUAAUAGUUUAGAAUUUCUAAUAAGAUGAAAAGACUACCUUCUACAGGCAGCAAAGCAUUAUGGAUAGAGUCACUGAAUGGAAUUUAGAAUAACCUAUGAUCAAAUCCCACAUUUAGCACUACUUAUUAGCUAUCUGACUAAUCACCUAACUUUUAUCAGGCAACUUCUUCUUAUAUAAAAUAGGUAUAAAGCAAAUCUGUAGCAAUGAUUUCAUAAGGUUGUUAUUUGGAUCAAUUAAUUUAUCUAAAAUGAUCAUCAGACUUUCAGAAUGUUAAAUAUUAUUAGUUUAUAAACAUAUCCUAGUUUUGCUUUAGAUACCAUUUAUUAGAUACUAGUUACUAAAUAUUAUAUAAUAAUAGAUAGUACUAGUCUUUAGAUAUUCACUAUAUAUUAAAUAUUAACUUUGUGUUAUUAAUUUUUUGUGUUUGUACCUGACAUUUUUAAGUGUCUUAUGGAAAUUAUCAGCCAUCUCAUGUAAUAUUGCAAAGACUACCAAAUUUGAAAUUAGAGAACAUAGGUGCUAAUUCUGCCUUCAUCACUUGAGUUCAUAUGACUGCUCUGCUACCUGUAUGAAUUUUUUUGAUUCUCAGAUUCUUCAUCUGUACAAUGAAGGAGCUGAAUUAUAUGGCAUCUGAGGUGCUUUCUAGUUCUAAAUCUAUGACAUUCUAUCUUCAGGAUGGUCAAUCAUAAACUAAAUUUGUAAGGACUAGUUUAUCAUCUUGAUCUAUAUGACUACUGAAGGUAGCAAAGAGAAUGCCAGAUUUAGGAUAUAGAUGUUAAAUGUGAAUUAACUUCUCCAACAAAAAAGUUCCAGAAAUUAUUCAAUGAACUCCACCCUCCCACCAUUGUCAUCAUCUUGAUUAUCAGAGUGGUACAAUAGGAAAAAAAUAAAAACAAGCAAACAAACAAACAAAAAAACAUUGAAUUUGGAAUUUGGAAGUGAAGCAGUAGAUUAGAAAUUAGAAGAUAUGAAUUCUAGUCCUGGCUUCACUAUUUAUGAAGUUGUUUAAUUCAAUCAAACCUUCAUUAUCAUCAUAUCACAUGUGUAACCACUGACACAAUCAUGUGGUUCUGGAUCCUGAGUAGUCAACUAAGUAUGUGCAUGAAACACAAGUAAAAUCUUAAGCUAAAAAAUAUUAUUUCUUUCAGCCCUUUCAUGAAUUAUCUUUCAUUAUUCCCUAAGGAACUGAUCAUAUUUUAUAAUGAAACUUUCUAUUUCCUCAUAGCUGUGGUCUUCCUUGGAAAUUUCUUUUUACUGAAACCAAUUUCAGCUAUAUGAUAUUUUAUUGCACUUGGUAAUGCAAAUGGACAUGUAAUUUCUACAGAAAUAUUUUGUCAGAAUGCUAUAACUUUGCUGCAAAAUUCUGUGCUCUAGUGAAAAUCAAUGCAACAACAAUUUAAUUCAGCAUAAAUAUUUAUUUAGAGUCUAAUAUGUUUCUAACAGCAUGCUAGAUGGUCCAGGAGGCAAAGGAAUUUAAAGCCAGAGUGUAUUUCAUAAGACUUUAUCAUCCACUUGUGGAAUGAAAGUCAAAUAUAUGCUAUAUUAUAAAAAGAAGACAAGCUAAUUACAAGACGUCUGAGAAGAAAUGGUAAGAGGAGUAGGUGGGGAACCAGAAGAUCAGUGUUACUGAAAUUAAAUAUGGAGUUUUAAAGAACUAACAAUGUUAUUUAAAAAAUAAUCAAAAUCAUUUGAAGUGAAACUUGGGAAAGAAAGGUGAAAAUGUUGCUAUUUCUCCUUGCCCUUGACACAUAUCCCUUGAAUCUUUUACUUUUUUUUUCUUCUGUAAUGAAAAGAAUAUUGUACAUGCAGAGAAUAGCUAGCAUUUAUACAAUACUUUGAGAUUUUCAAAGAAGACUAUAUAUGCUAUUUCAUUUUGUUCUCAUAAUAAUCCUAGGAAGGGAAUGUGACUAUUAUCUCCAUUUACUGAGGGGAAACUGAGUCAGAUAUUAAAUGACUAAGCAGGGUCACAUUCUAGUAAGUAUGUGAGGCUCAAUUUCAACUCAGGUCUUCCUGAUUCCAAGUCUAGCCCUCUUGUCUAAUGUACUACAUAAUUGUAAAGCAAAAAUAAAGAAAAAAAAUAAAGAAAAAUCUGAUUCCCCCUUUUCAGGAACUUAGGUUUUAUGUAUUCUCAAUACAGGUGAACACUUUCAAAGCAAGUGUAUAAGCAAAUAUAUAUUAUUAAAUGCUUAAAUACAUACAAUUUGUGAGAAUUUGUAGGUAGCAUAUAAGACAAAGCCCUUUAUGUAUAUUUGUUACAUCCCAAUUAUAUGUCAUUGGCUGCAAUUGUUUGACAUCAUCAAAUAUUGUCAAAAAAAGUAAGUGAUUUAAGUGUCAAUCAGUAAGCACGUAACCUCAUACAAAGAAAAGUAUAUGGAAACUUUCUGUAAUGAGACCUUCCAAAGCAAAAAGAAAAGCUAAUUAUGGUUUGUGGCUAGUUUAGAAAAGGCCUUACAUGGAUGAUUAGCUUUAAAGUUGGGCAGUGGAGGAAGAAAAGGCUCUGGAUUAGCAAGCUUGAUGGAAGACAAAAUUUCAAAUGGAAGCAACAGAGAUGGAGAAGUGAACAGGGAAUUAUCCAUGGAUAAACUAUUUUUAAGAAUAGUUGAAGGUCAGUUUUGAUAGGUAAAGGAGGGUCAUGUGAUAUGGCAUUAACCACUAGACUGAGAUGUUUAUAAUUUGUUUUAUGAAUUCUAGGAAAUCUCUAGAGUUGGAAACUUUUUUUUUUAUAUCAUACAUCAACAUCAACAGUCUAGUGAAGACUGUAGAGGACCCUUUCUCAGAAUAAUGUUUUGAAAUAUAUAAAAUAAAAUAACAGGAUUACCAUGGAAAGAAACACUUUUAAAUGAUAUACAGUGAUAUCAAGUUCACUGCUCUAAAGUCUACCAACAAGUUUAUAGGUUCCUGAACAGAUAAGUAGUUAAAUGAAACCACUUAAUUAUAGAAUUAAAGAGUCACAGAAUUGUAGAAUCAUAGAAUCUAUGUGUGUAAACUGACUUUAAUCAUCAUUAGGUCAUCAAUGCUAUAAUUAAUAGGUGAAGAAUCUUAGGGCCAGAAAAGGGAACCGAGUUGUCCAAUGUCAUAUAGAGCCAGAAUUAAAACCUAAGUCAUAAGUCCUUGAAUCAAGUUUUUUUUUUUUUUUUUUUUUUUUUAAAUAACACCAAAGUAUUUCAGAAGCAUUAACUUGGCUUCUGUAUUGUAAGAAAAAAAUAGAGAUAAGUAGAUGAAAAGUUGUAAAGCAAAAUAAAUCAUAAUAAUGGCUUAGCUUUCAAUUAUUUUUUAUUUAGGAAGAAUAUUUUAUCCAUUUGUCAAUUUAAAAAGAUGAUUUAAAAUCAUAGACUUUUAUAAUUAUCCAUUCCAAUUCUACUUACUCUCAUAUUCUUUUUUUUUUUAAGUUUAGAUUUAUUCAUUCAAAAAUUUAUAGGUUUCUAUUUAAUAUUGUAUUCAGUAUUCAGGAGUUUGUAGCAUUUGUCUUUUCCUUUAAACUAAAGACACAUGUUUCCAUUGCUUUAAGUAAAAGAAUCAGAGGUAAAAAUUCAAUUGAAGUGGGUUUUUUUGUAGCAAAACUUUGAAAAAGAAUAGAAUGACUCCCUCCAUUGAUUUAUUUUUCAUUGAAUACAUUAAUAAUAGUAAGUACUUAAUAAAUAUGCUUAUUGGGUACGGGUUUAUAAAGUACUAUAUAAAUGUUACAUAACAUAUCCUUAUUUUUUUCUUUAAAAUGUAAAAUGAUUAUAAAUAUGUAUACAUAUAUUGGAUUUAACAUAUUUUUAACAUGUUUAACAUAUAUUGGAUUACUUGCCAUCU